RNAcentral lists this ribosomal RNA (423 nucleotides) under uncultured prokaryote. RNAcentral describes it as "bacterial SSU rRNA". It matches the Rfam family "Bacterial small subunit ribosomal RNA", at positions 355 to 774 of the family's 1533-position model. The record is from RNAcentral.
UGAGGAAUUUUGGACAAUGGGGGAAACCCUGAUCCAGCGACGCCGCGUGGAGGACGAAGGUCUUCGGAUUGUAAACUCCUUUUGUCCGGGAAUAAUAAAUCUGUAGAAAUACGGAGAUUGAAUGUACCGGGCGAAUAAGCCACGGCUAACUUCGUGCCAGCAGCCGCGGUAAUACGAAGGUGGCAAGCGUUACUCGGAAUUACUAGGCGUAAAGCGCAGGUAGGUGGUUGUGUAAGUCUGCUGUGAAAGCUCCCGGCUUAACUGGGAGAGGUCAGCGGAUACUGCAUAGCUAGAGUGUGGGAGAGGGUACUGGAAUUCCCGGUGUAGCGGUGAAAUGCGCAGAGAUCGGGAGGAACACCAAAGGCGAAAGCAGGUACCUGGACCAUUACUGACACUAAGCUGCGAAAGCUAGGGGAGCAAACA